UGUUAAUUCUAUUGAUCUGGUGCAGG
Molecule: non-coding RNA, 26 nt
Filed under: Mus musculus (house mouse)
Lineage: Eukaryota; Metazoa; Chordata; Mammalia; Rodentia; Muridae
Source: RNAcentral